AUCGCCAAGUACAUGGAGGACAAGCACGGCGCGUCGCUGCCGGCCAACUACAAGAAGAUGCUCUCCAUCCAGCUCCGCGGAUUCGCCGCCAAGGGCAAGCUCGUCAAGGUCAAGGCCUCCUACAAGCUCUCUGACGCUGCCAAGAAGGACUCCCCCAAGGCCAAGCCCGCCGCCGCCAAAACCGCCGCGGCCAAGCCGGUCAAGGCCACCGCCAAGCCCAAGAAGACCGCCGCAGCCGCCACCAAGCCCAAGAAGACCGCCGCCGCCGGGACCAAGCGCAAGACGCCGGAGAAGAAGAAGAUUGUUGCGAAGCCGAAGAAGUCCCCCGCGGCGAAGGCCAAGGCCAAGCCCAAGACCGUCAAGUCCCCCGCCUCCAAGAAGGCCCGGAAGGUCGCCGCAUGAGUCUGUUCCAUAGGUCGU
Molecule: long non-coding RNA, 420 nt
Filed under: Setaria italica (foxtail millet)
Lineage: Eukaryota; Viridiplantae; Streptophyta; Magnoliopsida; Poales; Poaceae
Description: long non-coding RNA (SITA_LNC005380)
Source: RNAcentral